Molecule: long non-coding RNA, 205 nt
Filed under: Mytilus galloprovincialis (Mediterranean mussel)
Lineage: Eukaryota; Metazoa; Mollusca; Bivalvia; Mytilida; Mytilidae
Source: RNAcentral
UGUUUGAGCUUUAGAUUUUGCCAUUCCAUUACUUUUCUGUUUCGGUUUUUAUAGACAGUUGUUAUCCAUUUGUUAGGUGUGUUUGAGUUUUUGAUUUAGCCAUUCCAUUACUUUUCUGUUUUGGUUUUUCCUAGGAGUUCUGUAUUUUUGUUAUUUAAUUUUUUUGUGUAUAUGAUCAUAUAAAAUAAAAUUCUUAACUAAAUAC